Molecule: long non-coding RNA, 1549 nt
Organism: Catharus ustulatus (Swainson's thrush)
Lineage: Eukaryota; Metazoa; Chordata; Aves; Passeriformes; Turdidae
Exons: 3
Source: RefSeq, a predicted model, not a curated record
GCCGGCCGCGCUCGCCGCCGCCUUCCCCUGCACGCACGCACUUCGCGGAACAAGACAGGGAUUGUUCGUUUCGGAGCCUUUACUGCUGUGUAAGAACAAGGUGCAUCCAGCACUUCAUUUGCUGUGCCCCAAGCAGCGUGAGGAACUGUGUCUCCAAGCAUCCUCACCCCCGCACGUGAUGGGCCAUCAGGAGAGCCCAGUUGUACAUCUGGACAUCAAAAGAGAAGGUGUCCUGAAUGAAAGGAAUGGGUUUUGCUGAGAUCCUGUGAAGAUAGCCCUGUCAGAGGAAGGUGCUGAAGCCAGGCCCCAGGGCAGUGGUGAGGACGCAGCGCUCUGCCCAGCCUGCGGGCUCGCAUCAAACGGGGGUGCAAGGGCUGGGUAUAGGCACUGCUUUCUUGCUACUAAGCUCCAUCUGGAAAACAUCUUCCUUUUUUCUUUUUUCCCCACACCAAAAGAAACCCAAGCAACUCGGGAAUGAAUCUGUCGUUUAAUCAGAUGCUUUUUCUUUUUAUUCUGGGGAAUUUUAAUAAAAGCACAAAGCCAAGACUGCCAGAGUGCAGAGCUGUUCUCUCCGGGAGAGAACCAAGAGCCCUCCCGCAGCUCCGAAUGACGUCCAUGUCUCAUCAGGUCGCUGGGACAAUUUGGAUGCUGGAUUCUCUGCUUGUAACCCCUUUUGGGAAUGUCAUUGUUCUACAUUAUGCAUGACACAGAUCCUAUACUAUACACAACGCAGCUGCUGGUGCGAGGGAACCAGUCCUGAGAUGCAGAGGAGCCCCCCGAGCUCAGCAUGCUUGUCUAAAAACAGGAUUUGCUGGUGGAGGCAUCCGCCACCUCCUCCACCAGAUUUGCCAUCCAAGCCCCACGAGGCUGACAGGGAGGCACUGAGCCCGGAUCUGUGGUGGUCCCUGCCCUGCACUCGCUGCCAUACUUCUCCUCAAAGACACCAGUACUGGUUUCAGUGAGCUCCUUUUCUGGGGAAGCUGAUACACUUGCUUUUCAUGCUGGCUAACUCAAGAUGUUGAUUUCAUUUUGCUCUGCUCUCUUCUGCCACAUGCAUGCACAGCGAAAAUAAUUUUUGAAGUUUGAUGACUUUCAGGAAGAUGCUAUCCAUAACAAUAGUGACAUCUGAGAUAGUCCCACCCUGGCAGCUUUAUAGGAAACUGAUUGGCCAUUCUCUGAAAAAUGCAGACAGGACUACCAGCCCAGAGCUAUAGAUUUAUUUGCAUUCAAUACUUAGAGCAAACCUCUUUACAUUUCUAAAUAUAGAGAAUUAUUUUGAAAGUAUUUCAGAAUCAGUUUGCAAUGAUGAGUUACAUAAAAAUGGUACAGUUGUGUAAAGGCAAAAAUACAAACUUCAUAAAAGGGAUGUUAAACAAGGACUGUGGGAGUUAGGCACUCAAUGAAUCAGGCCUGCUUUGAGAAAACCAGCCUCAGUAAGGAUUUAAACUUUCUAAAAUCAAAAAGAGGAAUAUCUUCAACACAUAAAAAACCUGAGAGGAUGAUCACCCAUUACCAGGCAGCAGAGGGAAGAUCACCAUAAUUGGAGAGC